UUAUCCAGAGUAUCGUAUUUAUUUUUUUACCACUAGGAGAAAUAGUGCAUCUGACUAACUGGUCUAUUACUACUAACCUUUAGGCACAAAGAAUGUCUUUCGAUGUGAGUGAUAAAUAGAGAAGACUGCAACCGUAGUCUCCUUCUAACCUCGGUAAGGAUGAUCUACUGUUCUAAUGGGGAGGCUAAUGGAAUCUAGACACCACAAAGGAUGUUCAACCCGCACCUAUAAACCCUAUCCUUCCUGCUAACGAGAUGUGAUCUGCAAAGGUAACGCGGAAUUGUCACGUUCCUCACUACUACCACGGUCCAGCUAGUCAGGGAAUAUCUAUGAGUACCCCAGACUAAACACCACAUUUAUGCCAGCAAUGGUUACUCUAAACUCUACGCGAAGAGAUUAAAGUAAACUCAUAAAUCAUAAGAACAAUAAAACAAGAACUUACUAGAAUUUAGAAGUCGAAAUACUGAAGAAUCCUAGGAGCAAGCUUCGGGUUAGGAGAACUUGAUCCCACAGGUACAAGCUUGGAGUAGACACCGACAAGCCGGGCUUCCUCCAAUCUACACCUCCACUCUAUCUCUCUCAAUCUAGUAGAAACUAGAAGAUCUAUUUCUACUUUACAUUGGUUGCUAAGCCUAAAAAGAAAUAUUAUUUAGAGAAGAGGUUUUCCUUCGAGGGCACCCCUCAGUCUCUAUGAUAAUUUCUUCAUGUCUUCUCCAAGGGCCUGGGGGGUCUCCUUAUAUAGUCCUCCCCUUCUAUGUGUUUUGGGGUCGGUAGGCGAGGUGGUACUUAUGUUUUUCUUGAUCCAAUAGGUCGGUGGAAUAUCCCGUGCGAAGAGAGUCCUGAUUGACAUCCAGCAGGGGGCGGGCGCCCAGGUCACUAGGGUGGGCGCCCUGGGCCUGGCCUCUUUCGGCCUCCGUCUUCUUCCCGUGGCUUCUGGAGUCUUCUAGAUGGUAGAAAAUUGCGCGGUGCGUUGAUAUCUCUAUGUAAUCCCGACAUGUGGGCCUUUCUUCCUUAUUUCCUGAUAACCCCCUGCAGAAAUACAUAAACAACAAAACUCGUGAAAUUCUAUCAGAUCAAACCCUAAUUCUAUGUGUUGGUUGUAUAUUGGUCCUUUCCCUUGUUUAUUUGAUAAUUAAAAUUGAUACUUAAGAACCGUCAACAAAUACCCCCAUACUUAGGCUUUUACUCGUCCUCGAGAAAAGGAUGGUUAAGAACAAUAUCUGGGGUUAAACAUUUUAAAACAUUCUUUAUAUUUGCAGGGUGUUAAAAAUCCACUGUGUACCAUAGUCAGGAAGUAUAUGGUUAAGAGUAAAGAUCCUUUCUUCUCAAUCCUGCCACUUGGAGUUUUUGUAUAUUUUCGAAAGAAAGUUAGCAUACCUUUUUAUCCUCAUAGGUUCUCUCAGAUCACUCAUUAUCUUUUAUAUAUAUCUCACUGAGGUUGUUUUAAUUUGCAAAAAUUCUCAAGAAUACUUACUUUGCAUUUAUUGCCUGAUCAAAACGGGAUCCGAGGAGGGGAAUGUCAUACUCUUGCUGGCAUAUUGCUUAUUAGAGGGACCAUGGGCUAUCAUUUUCAUUUUUUUUUCUUUUUUUUAAGUGGAUACCGAAAUACCCCUAAUUCUACUGCCGGACACUUGUCCAUUUUUUCUGCGAGGUUGUCGAGCACAUGCUCCUUUUUAUUUCCUCGAAAUAUCUCUAUUUUUGCAUAGCCCAUGCCUCUAAUGCAAUAAUACUUCGGAAGAGUGAAUCUUUCUGAAAUAAUGUCUUGAUCUUAGGAGCAUGAUAAAUCUCUCAACAAGGGUCUAACUCAUUUUGAACAAACUCAAUACUGAGUAGAUAACUUUUAUAAUCAUAAUUAAUAUUUUCAGUUUUAUCAGGCAUAUAAAACACUGAGGAUGGUAGCUAAAAUUUUGAAUAUUUUGAAAUAAAUUCUCCAAGCAACAAUGAUAUCAAGAAUAAGAAACUCAUACUCUACCAUCACAUAUUCCACAAUGACUUAAGUAACAUAGGGUUUUAAAAUGAUUUUGUAAUAAUUGCAAGUUUUCAGGAAAUAUCACAGAUUGAGAUUAAUCAUGAUUAGAAAUAUUUUAAUAUUUUUAUUUUAUCAUGUCGGAAACAAUAAUCUGCAUAAUCCAAAAUAUAUAUAUGUAUAAAGUAAAGUAUGCAGAGUGUGUACCUGAAUCGUGGAGUGGUGUGGUUGGAGUGUGUUUGGCAUGUUGAGGGAUCUCCCCCAUACUUGUUUUAUGCUUUCUUGCACAAAAAUAAAGUGGAGACACACAAGACAUAAUAAUAUUAAUAAUACUCUUUAUUAAUCUUGAGGCAUUUAUUACAAAAGACUAGUAGCAAACUGAUAGCAAACUGAUGACAAUAGUAAACUGAUGAUAAUAGCAAACCUAAACCGAAUUUAAAGAUAAAUGACUAAGAUGUAUUGCCUCAAGGUCUAAUCUAGAUAACUUAGCGGCGCUCUAAUUCCUUGAUCUUCUUGUUGGCACUGGCAACAUCCUGCCUAUGGCCUAGUAUAAUGGUGUUGUGGUUAGAGAGCAGCCUAGUGAGGGAAUUAAUCAAGGACUGGAGGUCUAUAAUAACUCUAUCUAGCCUGCGAACUUCCUCAUCAAUAUCCAUUAUAGUCUUGCGACGCUUGGGAGGUGUCUCAAAAGCAUUGAGAGAGUGCUGUGGGGAAGCCUUUGGAGGGAUGAAACGGACUUUGGCAGCUCUAAUCCAUUCAAAGUAAGGCCUUUCCUCCGCCGUAGUGUAGCGAACGCUGCUGAUCUCGCCGCUCCGGUUGGUCUUGACUCCGACGACCCUCUCAUUGGGUCU
RNAcentral lists this long non-coding RNA (2814 nucleotides) under Sorghum bicolor (sorghum). RNAcentral describes it as "long non-coding RNA (SBIC_LNC017703)". The record is from RNAcentral. Lineage: Eukaryota; Viridiplantae; Streptophyta; Magnoliopsida; Poales; Poaceae.